GACCCUUAAGCAAACGGCAGAACAAAAGAAGGGAGCAUAUAAAUGCCCACAUCCGUUUCAAGCUGCAUCGAUGACGAAGGUCUGCGGGUUUAAACUGCGCAACAAAACAAGAAAGUAAUAAGACGCAGCAAUGUUUUGAAGCGGUUUAUCAACGCCACUCCGUUUUUGGGCAUGCAAGAACUUGCUUUUAGAGGACACGGCGAGGGGGAAAGUUCCGCCAACAAGGGCAAUUACAAUCAGCCUGCAGAGCUAAGUCCCCUCAUGUUCCAUGAUUUAAGAGGUGAUGACCACUCCACUACCAUUGUCAACUUUCUCCUGACAUGAACUGAAGCCACGUCUCAUGUACCUUCUCAUCCACUGGCACAUUGAAUGUUUCCUCUCCAAGUACAUCAAAUCCUGUCCUGCACUGAAGUCAAGCCUCUGAACACCUUAACUCAUACCCUCCCUCAUGCAAUCACUGCUGUGAUCCUUUCCCCAUAAUAUUGUACUAUAAAUGUCUUUAUUAAAUGCUUUAGGUUAAACUUAUUUGACGACAUUUGAAAAGACACUUGUCUCCAUGCGCUCUGUGCCUAUACCGUGGUCUCCCAUACUCCUCAAUUUUUCAAGUCACCAGCCUCCACUGGAGUCUUCAGGUGCCUUUUGGCAAACUCCAAGCGGGCUGUCAUGUGCCUUUUACUGAGGAGUGGCUUCCAU
This is a long non-coding RNA of Salvelinus namaycush (lake trout), 693 nucleotides long. RefSeq lists it as uncharacterized. The record is from RefSeq and is a predicted model, not a curated record. The transcript has 3 exons. Lineage: Eukaryota; Metazoa; Chordata; Actinopteri; Salmoniformes; Salmonidae.